GAGGGAAUGGCCUCCUCCGACAUGGGUGGCCUUUGUGAAUAUUGAAAGCAUCCCUACUAAGUAAUGUUCUAUGUGGAUGCACACGUAGGAGACAUUCUCAUUGCAAAUGCGCUGCUCUGUCGGCACCCACACUGCUGCAGAAUUCUCAGACACACUGGUCUGAUGCCCUGUGGAGUUCAAGAAGCUGUCAUCAUGCAAAUUCUCCUAUUGAAAUUAAAGCAGUUUCCAUAAUUAAUAGAAUGUGCUGGGGAUAAAGCAGUGUAUAUGGGUUGUCUCUGUGUGAACACAGUGUAGACCUUUGUUAGAGUGCUCAGUGACCCUUCACCCCGAAGUGAAGAAGCCGGUAGAAUGAAGAUCAAAUUCUUUGCUGUGCUGUAUCAUGAAAAAUAAGCUUAAAUUAUGCAUAUCAACAUGGAUUAUUAUUAGGUUUACAUGGAGGUACCAUAUGUGAAGGUUACUUUAAAAAUAGAAAACCUAAAAUCAUCACAAGAGAAAAGCAGGGUUUUGCUUGUUCGCUUCAAAUCUGGUUCCACGUGUAGACUUAUUUAAGAUUUCUAACCAAGCAUCCUGGUAGACGCACCAUCCUUUCUGGGUUCCUCCAAGUCCCCGGCCUGGACAACCCAGCUCUGUUCUCCAGCCCAGGGGCAAGUGAUGCCAGUCAGGAAGUUCACGUGCAUUCCACAUUGCAGUUGGGGAUCCAGGACUGCAGGGCUCUGCGCGAGGGGAGUCAGCAGCUGCGCCGCCAGCCUGCUGCCUUCCUCCCUGCGUGCAGGACGUCAGAUGACACACAGGAGCACCGUGGGCGAGGCAAGGACGCAGGGAGGGGAGCUGCCCUUGCUGCACUGACUGCUCUUCAGGGACUAGAGCUGGCUGCGUGGAAAGACACCCAAAGGGUCAGUUCCGAUCGGUGGUGCUGGGUGGUGCUGCCAGGUGACAAAGCCAAGGACGUGUCGGCAGCAGGUGACAGUGAUGGGGCCAUCGCCAGCGCUAAGAACUCUGCCACAGCGCAGUGUAUUUGCUCCAGCCUCGUCCUCCAGAGCUGUGCGUACUCCGCAGGCUCCGUGACUGUCCGUUUCACAGGAGAAAUAAGGUUCCUCCGGGCACCAUGACCUGCCCGAGUGCCGGGGGCCAGUGAGGAGCUUAGGACACUCCCACUGCGAGGAGGGUUCGCUGGACUACUGACCUGACCCGGCUCCCCGCCUGGAUGCUUCUCAGCCAGGCUUGAUUUCAUCCAACAGGAAGCUUCUGAGCUCCGAGUAGAAGGGGUGGUCUUGUGAAGAAGGGACAGGGAAGGACGAGGAACCCAGAGAGUCCCACAGGAGAGGCCACUGUACCCCAGCACAGUCCCUUCUGAGAAGGAGAAACUCGGUAUUUGCAAUGAACUAGGCCUAAGGAGAACAGAAUUGGA
RNAcentral lists this long non-coding RNA (1408 nucleotides) under Chinchilla lanigera (long-tailed chinchilla). Its description in RNAcentral is "lncRNA (ENSCLAG00000023787.1)". Lineage: Eukaryota; Metazoa; Chordata; Mammalia; Rodentia; Chinchillidae. The record is from RNAcentral.